UACGUAGGCAGCAAGCGUUGUUCGGAAUUAUUGGGCGUAAAGAGUAUGUAGGUGGUGUCGUAAGUUUGGUGUGAAAUCUCCUGGCUUAACUGGGAGGGUGCGCCGAAGACUGCGAUGCUUGAGUAUGGGAGAGGGUAUCGGAAUUCCUGGUGUAGCGGUGAAAUGCGUAGAUAUCAGGAGGAACACCUGUGGUGUAGACGGGUUCCUGGACCAUUACUGACACUGAGAUACGAAAGCGUGGGUAGCAAACAGA
RNAcentral lists this ribosomal RNA (253 nucleotides) under uncultured bacterium. Its description in RNAcentral is "partial 16S ribosomal RNA". It matches the Rfam family "Bacterial small subunit ribosomal RNA", at positions 524 to 776 of the family's 1533-position model. The record is from RNAcentral.